AGGCGCGUAGCUCAGGGGGAGAGCACUACCUUGACACGGUAGGGGUCGGCGGUUCGAAACCGCCCGUGCCUA
This 72-nucleotide transfer RNA is filed under the name Nitrospiraceae bacterium. Its description in RNAcentral is "tRNA-Val". It matches the Rfam family "tRNA". From Rfam's summary of the family: Transfer RNA (tRNA) molecules are approximately 80 nucleotides in length. The record is from RNAcentral. Lineage: Bacteria; Pseudomonadati; Nitrospirota; Nitrospiria; Nitrospirales; Nitrospiraceae. RNAcentral also lists the same sequence under 1 other name.